ACAGAAAGGCGAAUGCUGACGAGUCCAAGAAGUCCAUCUGCUAGCGUAUCAGCGGGCGUAAGCGCGAGGUCCGUGAGCGCAGUGGACGCGGCCGCGGCGCAGCGCGCCAAGGCGAGGGCCAUGUACUCGCACCUCGCCAGGAACAAGGUGGCCGCUGGGACGGCUAGUCUGCAGGGGGAGAUGGCCCAACAAG
This is a long non-coding RNA of Zerene cesonia (dogface butterfly), 193 nucleotides long. RefSeq lists it as uncharacterized. Lineage: Eukaryota; Metazoa; Arthropoda; Insecta; Lepidoptera; Pieridae. The record is from RefSeq and is a predicted model, not a curated record. The transcript is spliced from 3 exons.